AAACAAGGCAGAAGGGCUUUGAAUGUGGCAGAUCCAUCAGAUACACCCCUGAAGCCUGCAGACAGGAUGGUCUCUGGGAGGAUGUGCUCGAAGAAAAUGACUGGCUCUGAAAUGGACUCUUUAGUAUGGUUAUUUGGAUGAUGGUUUUGAUUCGGAGAGUCAAAAGCCAUGGUAUGUGAGGGGAGUGCAUUCUUCAUGAAGAGAGGCCAUCUUCUGCAUUCUCCUUCCUGUGGCUGAAGAGUGGGGCACUCAACUUGUUGCUUUCUGUCAAGGCUACAAGCCAGGAUACUACACUUAAUUGACAUAUCUUCUUAAACGCCUCUGAUUUGUGACGGUUUCUCAGUCUUUCCUGCUUUUCAUGACCUUGAUGCCUUUGAAGAGAAGUG
Molecule: long non-coding RNA, 386 nt
Filed under: Homo sapiens (human)
Lineage: Eukaryota; Metazoa; Chordata; Mammalia; Primates; Hominidae
Description: HSALNT0301971
Source: RNAcentral